GCACUGCUGAGGAGUCCCACACUACGACGAAACGACCGUCCAGUGC
This is a non-coding RNA of Schistosoma mansoni, 46 nucleotides long. Lineage: Eukaryota; Metazoa; Platyhelminthes; Trematoda; Strigeidida; Schistosomatidae. The record is from Rfam.